This 271-nucleotide ribosomal RNA is filed under the name uncultured prokaryote. RNAcentral describes it as "partial 16S ribosomal RNA". It matches the Rfam family "Bacterial small subunit ribosomal RNA", at positions 524 to 794 of the family's 1533-position model. The record is from RNAcentral.
AACGUAGGUGGCGAGCGUUGUCCGGAUUUACUGGGCGUAAAGGGAGCGUAGGCGGACUUUUAAGUGAGAUGUGAAAUACCCGGGCUCAACUUGGGUGCUGCAUUUCAAACUGGAAGUCUAGAGUGCAGGAGAGGAGAAUGGAAUUCCUAGUGUAGCGGUGAAAUGCGUAGAGAUUAGGAAGAACACCAGUGGCGAAGGCGAUUCUCUGGACUGUAACUGACGCUGAGGCUCGAAAGCGUGGGGAGCAAACAGGAUUAGAUACCCGCGUAGU